GACGAACGCUGGCGGCGUGCUUAACACAUGCAAGUCGAACGGAAAGGCCCUGCUUUUGUGGGGUGCUCGAGUGGCGAACGGGUGAGUAACACGUGAGUAACCUGCCCUUGACUUUGGGAUAACUUCAGGAAACUGGGGCUAAUACCGGAUAGGAGCUCCUGCUGCAUGGUGGGGGUUGGAAAGUUUCGGCGGUUGGGGAUGGACUCGCGGCUUAUCAGCUUGUUGGUGGGGUAGUGGCUUACCAAGGCUUUGACGGGUAGCCGGCCUGAGAGGGUGACCGGCCACAUUGGGACGGAGAGACGGCCCAGACGCCUACGGGAGGCAGCAGUGGGGAAUAUUGCACAAUGGGCGGAAGCCUGAUGCAGCAACGCCGCGUGCGGGAUGACGGCCUUCGGGUUGGAAACCGCUUUCGCCUGUGACGAAGCGUGAGUGACGGUAAUGGGUAAAGAAACACCGGCGAACUACGG
Molecule: ribosomal RNA, 467 nt
Filed under: uncultured bacterium
Lineage: Bacteria
Description: partial 16S ribosomal RNA
Rfam family: Bacterial small subunit ribosomal RNA
Source: RNAcentral